RNAcentral lists this transfer RNA (70 nucleotides) under Marmota monax (woodchuck). RNAcentral describes it as "tRNA.Ala". The record is from RNAcentral. Lineage: Eukaryota; Metazoa; Chordata; Mammalia; Rodentia; Sciuridae.
GGGGAUACAGCUCAGUUGGUAGAGUGCUUGCCUCGCAUACACGAGGUCCUGGGUUUGAUUCCCAGCACCA